Long non-coding RNA from Oncorhynchus masou masou (cherry salmon), 273 nucleotides. RefSeq lists it as uncharacterized. The record is from RefSeq and is a predicted model, not a curated record. Lineage: Eukaryota; Metazoa; Chordata; Actinopteri; Salmoniformes; Salmonidae. The transcript is spliced from 3 exons.
CUAAAUCCCACUCCUCCCAGUAUUCUGAAAUCAGCGUCACACACACACCCCUCUCCGUGGACCAGAGUCCAGAUUCCGGAAUCGUCAAAACCCCUCUGCCGUCCAGCCGGUUCAGGUUCGUGUCGUGGCAGCGGCUUGAGGAGAGUGAUGUCAAAGGAGACCAGCUCUCCUGUCCCAGGGUCAGAGAAGGGCCGUCAGUGGAGGACCUCUUUCUGAGAAAGGAUGACAUCCCCUUGGAAACGGGGAGGAGGAAGAGGAGAGAGGAAGAAGGGC